GGACUACUCGGGUAUCUAAUCCCGUUUGCUCCCCUGGCUUUCGCGCCUCAGCGUCAGGUGAGGUCCAGCACGCCGCUUUCGCCACCGGCGUUCCUUCCGAUAUCUACGCAUUUCACCGCUCCACCGGAAGUUCCGCAUGCCCCUACCUCCCUCGAGCCAGCCAGUAUCGGGGGCACUUGUCCGGUUAGGCCGAACGAUUUCACCCCCGACUUGGCAAGCCGCCUACGCGCCCUUUAAGCCCAGUGAAUCCGAACAACGUUCGCACGGUUCGUCUUACCGCGGCUGCUGGCAC
RNAcentral lists this ribosomal RNA (292 nucleotides) under uncultured Planctomycetota bacterium. RNAcentral describes it as "uncultured planctomycete partial 16S ribosomal RNA". Lineage: Bacteria; Pseudomonadati; Planctomycetota. The record is from RNAcentral.